AGAAGCGAUAUAUUGCAAUCAGUUUCGACCUGAUAUAAGGGCAUCCCCUCUU
This 52-nucleotide transfer RNA is filed under the name Lithobius maqinensis. RNAcentral's name for it is "tRNA-Arg". The record is from RNAcentral. Lineage: Eukaryota; Metazoa; Arthropoda; Chilopoda; Lithobiomorpha; Lithobiidae.